CGAGCGUUGAAAAGCUCGGGGAUGACUUGUGGGUAGCGGUGAAAUUCCAAUCGAGCCCGGAGAUAGCUGGUUCUCCCCGAAAUAGCUUUAGGGCUAGCCUCAAGGUGAGAGAUACGGAGGUAGAGCACUGAAUGUCCUAGGGGGUAUUGCACCUACCGAAGACUAUCAAACUCCGAAUGCCGUCAUCUUAUACUUGGGAGUCAGACUGUGGGUGAUAAGAUUCAUAGUCGAAAGGGCAACAGCCCAGAUCGUCAGCUAAGGUCCCUAAAUGUAAGUUAAGUGGUAAAGGAUGUGGGAUUGCACAGACAACCAGGAUGUUGGCUUAGAAGCAGCCACUCAUUCAAAGAGUGCGUAAUAGCUCACUGGUCGAGUGAUCCUGCGCCGAAGAUUUCCGGGGCUAAAACUUACUACCGAAGCUACGGCAUCAGUAAUGAUGGGUAGGGGAGCUUCCCAUACGGGUUGAAGCA
Molecule: ribosomal RNA, 467 nt
Filed under: Clostridioides difficile
Lineage: Bacteria; Bacillati; Bacillota; Clostridia; Peptostreptococcales; Peptostreptococcaceae
Description: partial 23S ribosomal RNA
Rfam family: Bacterial large subunit ribosomal RNA
Source: RNAcentral